UGGCAUACCCGUAGACCUUGCUUGGCUGCUUAUAGUCAGGCAGGGGGGACAGUGUGUGCAAGAGAAAUCGGAGUCUCUGCAAAUGUUAACCAGCUUAUUCAGUGACUGGAUAAACUGCAGUACUCCAACAUUC
Molecule: small nucleolar RNA, 133 nt
Filed under: Jaculus jaculus (lesser Egyptian jerboa)
Lineage: Eukaryota; Metazoa; Chordata; Mammalia; Rodentia; Dipodidae
Description: Small nucleolar RNA SNORA58 (ENSJJAG00000008468.1)
Rfam family: Small nucleolar RNA SNORA58
About the family: ACA52 is a member of the H/ACA class of snoRNA that guide the sites of modification of uridines to pseudouridines.
Source: Rfam by way of RNAcentral